CCUCCUCCUCUUCGCAGGCGGCUCGUACGGCCGUGAGAGUCAGAGCAGAGAUGGUGAUUCACACUGUACUGUAAGAAACAAAAAUGAAGAAAGAAGAUGAGGCCAAAAAAGGAUUUAACUUGGCAUGGCAGAGGGCAUUGAGGAAUGUAAGGAAUCAGUUAAGAAAAGAAGUCUAAAAAUGAGCAUUUGUGUUCCCUAAACUUCACUGGAGUUGAAACCAAAACUGUUGGUAUUUUCCACUUAAAUUCUUAUGACCUGAAAACUAAAUAUGAACUCAGAUCUGCCCAGUAGCAAGUAAUACAUGCUUUGAGGGACGCUGUUCUUCAGCAGUGAUCUUAGUUUUAAUGCUGGGCUGUAAAGAACUUGACAGGGAUUUGCUGUUUGCUCGUAUAUGCUCACAGCUUUUAUAUAAUUCAUAGAAUCAUAGAAUAGAAUUCAAGUUGCCAGAUGUAAUUAUGGAUAUUUAAAAUGCCUUAAGAAAAUUCCUAAUUUUCUGAAUCAGCAACAGCUGACUAUCCCAGAGAAACUACAUAUAAGUAUUAAGAAAAAGGAUUACAAUCUCUGUUGGUCACUGUAGGGUAAAAGGACAUGCUCUCUAUGAAUGUUACAGUUCACAUUCUGAGAAGUUU
This 629-nucleotide long non-coding RNA is filed under the name Phasianus colchicus (ring-necked pheasant). RNAcentral's name for it is "lncRNA (ENSPCLG00000000800.1)". The record is from RNAcentral. Lineage: Eukaryota; Metazoa; Chordata; Aves; Galliformes; Phasianidae.